CAAUUAAAACACCAAUUGUUCGCCAAAUAACUACGAGUAAAAACUUAAAAUUUAAAAGACUUGACGGUACUUCAUACCACCCUAGAGGAGCCUGUCUAAUAACCGAUACUCCACGAUUAACCCAACCCAUCCUAGCCCAAUCAGUCUAUAUACCGCCAUCGCCAGCUCACCUUGUAAAAGAAACAUAGCGAGCCUAAAAGCACCACCACUAGCACGAUAGGUCGAGGUGUAACUAAUGGGUGGGAAUCAGAUGGGCUACAUUUUCUAAUACAGAAAAUACGAAUAGACUAUGAAAGUAGAAACCGAAGGAGGAUUUAGUAGUAUGUUAAGGACAAAAUGCUUAACCGAAAUAAACGCAAUGAAGUGCGUACACACCGCCCGUCAUCCC
This 388-nucleotide ribosomal RNA is filed under the name Rhabdophis guangdongensis (Guangdong keelback). RNAcentral describes it as "partial 12S ribosomal RNA". Lineage: Eukaryota; Metazoa; Chordata; Lepidosauria; Squamata; Natricidae. The record is from RNAcentral.